AACCUAGCACACCUGCGGUGUGUACCUGCGGAGGGAUCAUUACUGAGUGUAAAAACUCCCAAACCCAUUGUGAACAUACCACUGUUGCUUCGGCGGAUACGCCCCGGGCGCGCUCUUCACAGGGCGUGCCCCGGAACCAGGCGCCCGCCGGGGGACCGAAACUCUUGUUUUCUUAGGAUCUCUGAGUGUGAUUAUUAAAUAAAUCAAAACUUUUAGCAACGGAUCUCAGAUCGGAAGAGC
RNAcentral lists this unclassified non-coding RNA (240 nucleotides) under soil metagenome. RNAcentral's name for it is "partial contains 5.8S ribosomal RNA, internal transcribed spacer 2, and large subunit ribosomal RNA". The record is from RNAcentral.